This is a non-coding RNA of Microcebus murinus (gray mouse lemur), 383 nucleotides long. The record is from RefSeq and is a predicted model, not a curated record. NCBI's taxonomy places the organism in Eukaryota, Metazoa, Chordata, Mammalia, Primates, Cheirogaleidae.
AAAGAAACUAAAUUUUGUUUUUCCUUUUUAGAUGAAGUAUAUUCUAUAAACAAAUGUAGAAAAUACAGAAAAUAGGAUUAAAAAUACUCAUUUGUGCCUGGGAUUAAUCUUAAGGAAUCUCUGAGAUUGCUUUAAUGGAAUUCCUCUCUUCCUAUACUUUGUGGGAAUUCCUUCACAGACAGGCAUAACAAUUUCCCUCAACUCACUUGUUCCUUUGACUUGGCGGUUUCCACACAGUCACUAUCAAUGAGCUAAUCCUGAAGAGCUGUUUUCAGAACACAGCUCUGACUACCUAUUACUCAGGUAUACAAGAUCCUAGAAUCAUAUGAUUUCAUUUGCUAUAUGAAAGGGUCUUGCUCUGUUGCCCAGGCUGGAGUGCAGUG